This 468-nucleotide ribosomal RNA is filed under the name uncultured bacterium. RNAcentral's name for it is "partial 16S ribosomal RNA". It matches the Rfam family "Bacterial small subunit ribosomal RNA", at positions 28 to 523 of the family's 1533-position model. The record is from RNAcentral.
GAUGAACGCUGGCGGCGUGCCUAACACAUGCAAGUCGAGCGAUCUUCUUCGGAAGAGAGCGGCGGACGGGUGAGUAACGCGUGGGUAACCUGCCUCAUACACAUGGAUAACAUACCGAAAGGUAUGCUAAUACAAGAUGAUAUAAGAGAUUCGCAUGGAUUUCUUAUCAAAGCUCCGGCGGUAUGAGAUGGACCCGCGUCUGAUUAGCUAGUUGGUAAGGUAACGGCUUACCAAGGCGACGAUCAGUAGCCGACCUGAGAGGGUGAUCGGCCACAUUGGAACUGAGACACGGUCCAAACUCCUACGGGAGGCAGCAGUGGGGAAUAUUGCACAAUGGGCGAAAGCCUGAUGCAGCAACGCCGCGUGAGCGAUGAAGGCCUUCGGGUCGUAAAGCUCUGUCCUCAAGGAAGAUAAUGACGGUACUUGAGGAGGAAGCCCCGGCUAACUACGUGCCAGCCGCCGCCGUAA